CCUACGGGUGGCAGCAGUGAGGAAUAUUGGUCAAUGGGCGCGAGCCUGAACCAGCCAAGUAGCGUGAAGGAUGACUGCCCUACGGGUUGUAAACUUCUUUUAUAAAGGAAUAAAGUGAGGCACGUGUGCCUUUUUUUAUGUAUUUUAUGAUUAAGGAUCGGCUAACUCUGUGUCAGCAGCGGCGGUAAUACGGAGGAUCCGCGCGUUAUCCGGAUUUAUUGGGUUUAAAGGGAGCGUAGAUGGGUUGUUAUGUCAGUUGUGAAAGUUUGCGGCUCAACCGUAAAAUUGCAAUUGAUACUGGCAGCCUUGAGUACAGUUGGGGUAGGCGGAAUUCGUGGUGUAGCGGUGAAAUGCUUAGAUAUCACGAAGAACUCCGAUUGCGAAGGCAGCCUACUAAACUGCCACUGACAUUGAGGCUCGAAAGUGUGGGUAUCAAACAGGAUUAGAUACCCCUGUAGUC
RNAcentral lists this ribosomal RNA (460 nucleotides) under uncultured bacterium. Its description in RNAcentral is "partial 16S ribosomal RNA". It matches the Rfam family "Bacterial small subunit ribosomal RNA", at positions 338 to 795 of the family's 1533-position model. The record is from RNAcentral.